UACGUAGGGUGCGAGCGUUGCCCGGAUUUAUUGGGCGUAAAGGGCGCGUAGGCGGCUCGGCACGUCCGUUGUGAAAUCCCUGGGCUCAACCCAGGAAUUGCUUCGGAUACUGGCGUGCUUGAGGCUAGUAGGGGUCACUGGAACUGACGGUGGAGCGGUGAAAUGCGUAGAUAUCGUCAGGAACGCCGAUGGUGAAGACAGGUGACUGGGCUAGUUCUGACACUGAGGCACGAAAGCGUGGGGAGCGAACGGG
RNAcentral lists this ribosomal RNA (253 nucleotides) under uncultured bacterium. RNAcentral's name for it is "partial 16S ribosomal RNA". It matches the Rfam family "Bacterial small subunit ribosomal RNA", at positions 524 to 776 of the family's 1533-position model. The record is from RNAcentral.